GAUGAACGCUGGCGGCGUGCUUAACACAUGCAAGUCGAACGAACCUUCGGGUUAGUGGCGGACAGGUGAGUAACGCGUGAGAAUCUGCCCUCAGGAGGGGGAUAACGGCUGGAAACGGCCGCUAAUACCCCAUAUGCCGAGAGGUGAAAUGAAUUUCGCCUGAGGAUGAGCUCGCGUCUGAUUAGCUAGUUGGUGUGGUAAAGGCUCACCAAGGCAUCGAUCAGUAGCUGGUCUGAGAGGAUGAUCAGCCACACUGGGACUGAGACACGGCCCAGACUCCUACGGGAGGCAGCAGUGGGGAAUUUUCCGCAAUGGGCGCAAGCCUGACGGAGCAACGCCGCGUGAGGGAUGAAGGCCUCUGGGCUGUAAACCUCUUUUAUCAAGGAAGAAGAUCUGACGGUACUGA
This 406-nucleotide ribosomal RNA is filed under the name uncultured Synechococcus sp. RNAcentral describes it as "bacterial SSU rRNA". It matches the Rfam family "Bacterial small subunit ribosomal RNA", at positions 28 to 482 of the family's 1533-position model. Lineage: Bacteria; Bacillati; Cyanobacteriota; Cyanophyceae; Synechococcales; Synechococcaceae. The record is from RNAcentral.